RNAcentral lists this ribosomal RNA (442 nucleotides) under Gramastacus lacus. Its description in RNAcentral is "partial 16S ribsomal RNA". It matches the Rfam family "Archaeal large subunit ribosomal RNA", at positions 2009 to 2653 of the family's 2987-position model. The record is from RNAcentral. Lineage: Eukaryota; Metazoa; Arthropoda; Malacostraca; Decapoda; Parastacidae.
CGCGGUAUUUUGACCGUGCGAAGGUAGCAUAAUCAUUAGUCUUUUAAUUGAAGGCUUGUAUGAAGGGUUAGACGAGAAAUUAGCUGUCUUUAUUAAAAAAAUGGAAUUUAACUUUUAAGUGAGAGGGCUUAAAUGUUCUAAAGGGACGAUAAGACCCUAUAAAGUUUGAUAUUUAAUUUUUUAAAAAAUAAGAUAAAUAGAUAAAGUUAAUUAGAAAAAAGAUGUUUUGUUGGGGCGACAAGAAUAUAAUUUAUAUAACUGUUUUUAUAUCAAUACAAUAAUGAUUGAAUUAGUGAACCUUUAUAAAGGUAACAGAGUAAAUUACUUUAGGGAUAACAGCGUAAUUUUUUUUGAGAGUUCUUAUCGACAAAAAAGUUUGCGACCUCGAUGUUGAAUUAAAGGUUCUUUGUAACGUAGAAGUUACAUGAGGGGGUCUGUUCGA